Molecule: ribosomal RNA, 497 nt
Filed under: uncultured bacterium
Lineage: Bacteria
Description: partial 16S ribosomal RNA
Rfam family: Bacterial small subunit ribosomal RNA
Source: RNAcentral
GAUGAACGCUGGCGGCGUGCCUAGUACAUGCAAGUCGAGCGAACGGACGAGAAGCUUGCUUCUCUGAUGUUAGCGGCGGACGGGUGAGUAACACGUGGAUAACCUACCUAUAAGACUGGGAUAACUUCGGGAAACCGGAGCUAAUACCGGAUAAUAUUUUGAACUGCAUGGUUCAAAAGUGAAAGACGGUCUUGCUGUCACUUAUAGAUGGAUCCGCGCUGCAUUAGCUAGUUGGUAAGGUAACGGCUUACCAAGGCAACGAUGCAUAGCCGACCUGAGAGGGUGAUCGGCCACACUGGAACUGAGACACGGUCCAGACUCCUACGGGAGGCAGCAGUAGGGAAUCUUCCGCAAUGGGCGAAAGCCUGACGGAGCAACGCCGCGUGAGUGAUGAAGGUCUUCGGAUCGUAAAACUCUGUUAUUAGGGAAGAACAUAUGUGUAAGUAACUGUGCACAUCUUGACGGUACCUAAUCAGAAAGCCACGGCUAACUACGUG